UACAGAGGCCCCAAGCGUUACUGAGAAUCACUGGGUUUAAAGGGUGCGUAGGUGGCGCGUUAAGUCCGUUGUGAAAUCCCUUGGCUCAACCAAGGAAUGGCUUCGGAUACUGGCGUGCUUGAGGCCGGUAAGGGUCACUGGAACUGACGGUGGAGCGGUGAAAUGCGUAGAUAUCGGGAGGAACACCAAUGGCGAAGGCGGCGGCCUGGGUUGACACUGACGCUGAGGCGCGAAAGCGUGGGGAGCAAACAGG
This 253-nucleotide ribosomal RNA is filed under the name uncultured bacterium. RNAcentral's name for it is "partial 16S ribosomal RNA". It matches the Rfam family "Bacterial small subunit ribosomal RNA", at positions 524 to 776 of the family's 1533-position model. The record is from RNAcentral.